CCGCACUAGAGACUCUGCAAAUACCCAUUAGGAUUUAAAAGGUGAACGGAGCUUUAAUGGCAGACAUCACCUGAAGUCUCUGCUAGCCUCAUCUCUUUCAUGCCUGAGAUGCAGGCCACUAAGUUCCUGGAUACGGAACAACUUUCUCACCCUUGGAGCCUUGGAGAUGCUUUAGGACUGUGUGGACUGGACAACAACAGCCCCCUUUCAGCCAUGAUUUUGUUACAAAGCAAAGGAUAUACAACAUUUCAGCUACAAAACAA
Molecule: long non-coding RNA, 263 nt
Organism: Protopterus annectens (West African lungfish)
Lineage: Eukaryota; Metazoa; Chordata; Ceratodontiformes; Protopteridae
Exons: 3
Source: RefSeq, a predicted model, not a curated record